RNAcentral lists this ribosomal RNA (253 nucleotides) under uncultured bacterium. Its description in RNAcentral is "partial 16S ribosomal RNA". It matches the Rfam family "Bacterial small subunit ribosomal RNA", at positions 524 to 776 of the family's 1533-position model. The record is from RNAcentral.
UACGUAGGGUGCAAGCGUUAAUCGGAAUUACUGGGCGUAAAGCGUGCGCAGGCGGUUGUGUAAGUCUGUCGUGAAAUCCCCGGGCUCAACCUGGGAAUUGCGAUGGAGACUGCACGGCUAGAGUGUGUCAGAGGGGGGUAGAAUUCCUGGUGUAGCAGUGAAAUGCGUAGAUAUCAGGAGGAAUACCGAUGGCGAAGGCAGCCCCCUGGGUCGAUACUGACGCUCAUGCACGAAAGCGUGGGGAGCAAACAGG